GAUGAACGCUGGCGGCGUGCCUAAUACAUGCAAGUCGAGCGAACGGACGAGGAGCUUGCUUUUCUGACGUUAGCGGCGGACGGGUGAGUAACACGUGGAUAACCUACCUAUAAGACUGGGAUAACUUCGGGAAACCGGAGCUAAUACCGGAUAAUAUUUUGAACCGCAUGGUUCAAUAGUGAAAGACGGUUUUGCUGUCACUUAUAGAUGGAUCCGCGCUGCAUUAGCUAGUUGGUAAGGUAACGGCUUACCAAGGCAACGAUGCGUAGCCGACCUGAGAGGGUGAUCGGCCACACUGGAACUGAGACACGGUCCAGACUCCUACGGGAGGCAGCAGUAGGGAAUCUUCCGCAAUGGGCGAAAGCCUGACGGAGCAACGCCGCGUGAGUGAUGAAGGUCUUCGGAUCGUAAAACUCUGUUAUUAGGGAAGAACAUAUGUGUAAGUAACUGUGCACGUCUUGACGGUACCUAAUCAGAAAGCCACGGCUAACUACGUG
RNAcentral lists this ribosomal RNA (497 nucleotides) under uncultured bacterium. Its description in RNAcentral is "partial 16S ribosomal RNA". It matches the Rfam family "Bacterial small subunit ribosomal RNA", at positions 28 to 507 of the family's 1533-position model. The record is from RNAcentral.